GAAACGGCCCUCUUUAGGGCCACCACAUACUUGUUAUGACCAAGUU
Molecule: non-coding RNA, 46 nt
Organism: Trichobilharzia regenti
Lineage: Eukaryota; Metazoa; Platyhelminthes; Trematoda; Strigeidida; Schistosomatidae
Source: Rfam